GGCGUUAUGGUGUAACGGAAGCACAGCCGAAUGAUAAGCGGAAGGAGCGAGGGUUCGAUUCCCGGAGCGCCCCA
RNAcentral lists this transfer RNA (74 nucleotides) under Caudoviricetes sp. Its description in RNAcentral is "tRNA-Ile". Lineage: Duplodnaviria; Heunggongvirae; Uroviricota; Caudoviricetes. The record is from RNAcentral.